This 310-nucleotide ribosomal RNA is filed under the name Loxopholis percarinatum. RNAcentral's name for it is "partial 12S ribosomal RNA". It matches the Rfam family "Bacterial small subunit ribosomal RNA", at positions 892 to 1363 of the family's 1533-position model. Lineage: Eukaryota; Metazoa; Chordata; Lepidosauria; Squamata; Gymnophthalmidae. The record is from RNAcentral.
GCCUAAAACUCAAAAGACUUGACGGUGUCCCAACCUACCUAGAGGAGCCUGUUCCAUAAUCGAUAAUCCACGAUCAACCCUACCACCCAUCGAACCCAACCCUUUCAGCCUAUAUACCGCCGUCACCAGCUUACCUUUCAAAAGCAUUAAAGUGAGCAUAAUAGUAUUUUACUAACACGUCAGGUCAAGGUGUAGCUUAUGGGGUGGCGCCAAUGGGCUACAUUAUCUAAUAUAGAUUACCUACGAAUUAUUUUUUGACAAAAUUAUAUAAAGGCGGAUUUAGCAGUAAAUUAAGCAAGAAUACUUAACU